This 253-nucleotide ribosomal RNA is filed under the name uncultured bacterium. RNAcentral's name for it is "partial 16S ribosomal RNA". It matches the Rfam family "Bacterial small subunit ribosomal RNA", at positions 524 to 776 of the family's 1533-position model. The record is from RNAcentral.
UACGUAGGGCGCAAGCGUUGUCCGGAAUUAUUGGGCGUAAAGAGCUCGUAGGCGGUUUGUCGCGUCUGCUGUGAAAACCUGAGGCUCAACCUCGGGCUUGCAGUGGGUACGGGCAGACUAGAGUGCGGUAGGGGUGACUGGAAUUCCUGGUGUAGCGGUGGAAUGCGCAGAUAUCAGGAGGAACACCGAUGGCGAAGGCAGGUCACUGGGCCGCAACUGACGCUGAGGCGCGAAAGCGUGGGGAGCAAACAGG